UACGAAGGGGGCUAGCGUUGUUCGGAAUUACUGGGCGUAAAGCGCGCGCAGGCGGCCAUUCAAGUCAGGGGUGAAAUCCCAGAGCUCAACUCUGGAAUUGCCUUUGAGACUGUAUGGCUUCGAGUACGGGAGAGGUGAGUGGAAUUCCCAGUGUAGAGGUGAAAUUCGUAGAUAUUGGGAAGAACACCGGUGGCGAAGGCGGCUCACUGGCCCGUUACUGACGCUCAGGCGCGACAGCGUGGGGAUCAAACAGG
Molecule: ribosomal RNA, 254 nt
Filed under: uncultured bacterium
Lineage: Bacteria
Description: partial 16S ribosomal RNA
Rfam family: Bacterial small subunit ribosomal RNA
Source: RNAcentral